Molecule: ribosomal RNA, 502 nt
Filed under: uncultured delta proteobacterium
Lineage: Bacteria; Deltaproteobacteria
Description: bacterial SSU rRNA
Rfam family: Bacterial small subunit ribosomal RNA
Source: RNAcentral
GGGCUGCUAAUACCAAAUAAGCUCCCACUACUGCGGUAGUGAGGGAAAAGAGGGGGAUCCUUCGGGACCUUUUGCCAUGGGAUGAGCUCGCGGCCCAUUAGGUAGUUGGUGGGGUAAUGGCCUACCAAGCCGACGAUGGGUAGCUGGUCUGAGAGGGCGAUCAGCCACACUGGAACUGAGACACGGUCCAGACUCCUGCGGGAGGCAGCAGUGGGGAAUCUUGCGCAAUGGACGAAAGUCUGACGCAGCCAUGCCGCGUGGGCGACGAAGGCCUUCGGGUUGUAAAGCCCUGUCCAGGGGGACGAACAUCUCUGUGUGUAAUAUACAUAAAGACUGACGGUACCCCUGAAGAAAGCACCGGCUAACUCCGUGCCAGCAGCCGCGGCAAUACGGAGGGUGCGAGCGUUGUUCGGAAUCACUGGGCGUAAAGCGCGUGUAGGCGGUGACGCAAGUCGGGGUGUGAAAGCCCUUGGCUCAACCAAGGAACUGCGCUCGAAACUGC